This 208-nucleotide long non-coding RNA is filed under the name Capsicum annuum. RNAcentral describes it as "long non-coding RNA (CANN_LNC013270)". Lineage: Eukaryota; Viridiplantae; Streptophyta; Magnoliopsida; Solanales; Solanaceae. The record is from RNAcentral.
GAAAUGGACCUCGAUGAAAUUGAUCCUUGUCGAUAAUAAAGAAAUCCGAAGACCAAAAUACUCGACCGAAGAACCUCGAUCGCGAUGAAUCCAACUCGGUAGAGAGAAAAGCUAAUAAGACAACUUCAAAACCAGUGAGACAAACUUUAUUAUACGAAACCCAACCAAGAACGACGACGCAAUUCGAUAAAGACGACUCGAAAUCCAA